This 266-nucleotide long non-coding RNA is filed under the name Ricinus communis (castor bean). Its description in RNAcentral is "long non-coding RNA (RCOM_LNC002328)". The record is from RNAcentral. Lineage: Eukaryota; Viridiplantae; Streptophyta; Magnoliopsida; Malpighiales; Euphorbiaceae.
GGGCUUCGUUGGCAAAUCGACGGUCGAGAUCGUCCGCAAAUCUCUCCGGAUGAUCGGGUGUCAGAUCGAAAAAUCGGAAGCGGGGAUCGUCAUCAGCGCGUCGUUGUGAGUCCGAUGGUGUGUUCGGAUCGUCGAUCGGACUCCGGCGGCUGGAGGCGAGUCGACCGAGCGACCGAGCGUCUCGGUAAUUUUUUUUUGGCCCGUUAAUUUUAGAAAUUCUUGGUUUAAUUGUGUCUAUUGGAUUAUAUUGUGUAUUUGAUGAUAUU